GCAUGUCUCAGAGUCUGUGUUUGUGUGCGUCUGACAGGUUUCAGUAAGCUGGCCAGCGUGCCGUCCGGUGGUGCUGGUGCUGCAUCCAGUGCUGUUGCCCCGUCUGCUGGAGGAUCUGCUGCCGCCCCUGCAGCGGAGGAGAAGAAAGAAGAGAAGAAAGAGGAGUCUGAAGAAUCCGAAGAUGACAUGGGUUUCGGACUCUUUGACUAAUCUGUCUCCUCGGGACCAAAAUAAAGUUUAUUACAAAAUGA
Sinocyclocheilus rhinocerous is the source of this 251-nucleotide long non-coding RNA. RefSeq lists it as uncharacterized. Lineage: Eukaryota; Metazoa; Chordata; Actinopteri; Cypriniformes; Cyprinidae. The record is from RefSeq and is a predicted model, not a curated record. The transcript is spliced from 2 exons.